CGAGCGGCGGACGGGUGAGUAAUGCAUAGGAAACUGCCCAGUAGUGGGGGAUAGCCCGGGGAAACCCGGAUUAAUACCGCGUACGCCCUUCGGGGGAAAGCAGGGGAUCUUCGGACCUUGCGCUAUUGGAUGUGCCUAUGUCGGAUUAGCUAGUUGGUGGGGUAAAGGCCUACCAAGGCGACGAUCCGUAGCUGGUCUGAGAGGAUGAUCAGCCACAUCGGGACUGAGACACGGCCCGAACUCCUACGGGAGGCAGCAGUGGGGAAUAUUGGACAAUGGGGGCAACCCUGAUCCAGCCAUGCCGCGUGUGUGAAGAAGGCUUUCGGGUUGUAAAGCACUUUCAGUGAGGAGGAAAACUCUGCGACUAAUACUCGUAGGGCUUGACGUUACUCACAGAAGAAGCACCGGCUAACUCCGUGCCA
This 422-nucleotide ribosomal RNA is filed under the name bacterium enrichment culture clone H08_2-H4_050 (6/59). RNAcentral describes it as "bacterial SSU rRNA". It matches the Rfam family "Bacterial small subunit ribosomal RNA", at positions 92 to 510 of the family's 1533-position model. The record is from RNAcentral.